Elaeis guineensis (African oil palm) is the source of this 106-nucleotide small nucleolar RNA. The record is from RefSeq and is a predicted model, not a curated record. NCBI's taxonomy places the organism in Eukaryota, Viridiplantae, Streptophyta, Magnoliopsida, Arecales, Arecaceae.
AUAGCGUGGUGUGGAUAUUUGUGGAUGAGGUCCUUAAAUUUUUCCCAUGUUUCAUCAAAUGUCUCCCCAUCCAUUUAGGAAAAAUGGGUGAUGGCUUUUCUAAUUU